This 450-nucleotide ribosomal RNA is filed under the name uncultured bacterium. Its description in RNAcentral is "partial 16S ribosomal RNA". It matches the Rfam family "Bacterial small subunit ribosomal RNA", at positions 354 to 796 of the family's 1533-position model. The record is from RNAcentral.
GUGGGGAAUCUUCCGCAAUGGACGAAAGUCUGACGGAGCGACGCCGCGUGAGUGAAGAAGGCCUUCGGGUCGUAAAGCUCUGUCAUCAGGGACGAACGGCCGGUGGAGUGGAAAGCCACCGGAUUGACGGUACCUGAGAAGGAAGCCACGGCUAACUACGUGCCAGCAGCCGCGGUAAUACGUAGGUGGCAAGCGUUGUCCGGAAUUAUUGGGCGUAAAGCGCGCGCAGGUGGGAUCUUAAGUCCAUUUUUAAAGUUCGGAGCUCAACUCCGUGAUGGGAUGGAAACUGGGAUUCUUGAGUACCGGAGAGGAAAGCGGAAUUCCCCGUGUAGCGGUGAAAUGCGUAGAUAUGGGGAGGAACACCAGUGGCGAAGGCGGCUUGCUGGACAGUAACUGACGUUGAGGCUCGAAAGCGUGGGGAGCAAACAGGAUUAGAUACCCGGGUAGUCC